RNAcentral lists this microRNA precursor (93 nucleotides) under Canis lupus dingo (dingo). Its description in RNAcentral is "mir-8834 microRNA precursor family". It matches the Rfam family "mir-8834 microRNA precursor family". The record is from Rfam by way of RNAcentral. Lineage: Eukaryota; Metazoa; Chordata; Mammalia; Carnivora; Canidae.
AGGAGGAACAACCGCAGUGGCGGGGCCAGCUCUGGAGCUCCUGCAGUAACUCCAGAGCUCUCCGUCUGCAGGGCCUGGAGGCUCCGGGGCGGG